This 207-nucleotide ribosomal RNA is filed under the name uncultured bacterium. RNAcentral's name for it is "partial 16S ribosomal RNA". It matches the Rfam family "Bacterial small subunit ribosomal RNA", at positions 568 to 774 of the family's 1533-position model. The record is from RNAcentral.
GGCGUAGGCGGCUUUUCAAGUCGGAUGUGAAAUCUCCCGGCUUAACUGGGAGGGUGCAUUCGAUACUGGGAGGCUGGAGUGCAUCAGAGGAAAGCGGAAUUCCCGGUGUAGUGGUGAAAUGCGUAGAUAUCGGGAAGAACACUAGUGGCGAAGGCGGCUUUCUGGGGUGUAACUGACGCUGAGGCCCGAAGGCGUGGGGAGCAAACA